UCUACGGGAGGCAGCAGUGGGGAAUAUUGGACAAUGGGCGAAAGCCUGAUCCAGCAAUGCCGCGUGAGUGAUGAAGGCCUUAGGGUUGUAAAGCUCUUUUACCCGGGAUGAUAAUGACAGUACCGGGAGAAUAAGCUCCGGCUAACUCCGUGCCAGCAGCCGCGGUAAUA
This 170-nucleotide ribosomal RNA is filed under the name uncultured bacterium. RNAcentral's name for it is "partial 16S ribosomal RNA". It matches the Rfam family "Bacterial small subunit ribosomal RNA", at positions 338 to 525 of the family's 1533-position model. The record is from RNAcentral. RNAcentral also lists the same sequence under 1 other name.